Molecule: ribosomal RNA, 253 nt
Filed under: uncultured bacterium
Lineage: Bacteria
Description: partial 16S ribosomal RNA
Rfam family: Bacterial small subunit ribosomal RNA
Source: RNAcentral
UACGAAGGGUCCAAGCGUUGUUCGGAUUUAUUGGGCGUAAAGCGCGCGCAGGCGGAUCAGCAAGUCAGAUGUGAAAUCUCGGAGCUCAACUCCGAAACUGCGUCUGAAACUACUAGUCUAGAAUAUCAGAGGGGGUAGGGGAAUUUCACGUGUAGGGGUAAAAUCCGUAGAGAUGUGAAGGAACACCGGUGGCGAAGGCGCCUGCCUGGAUGAUUAUUGACGCUGAGGCGCGAAAGCGUGGGGAGCAAACAGG